ACUUACCAGGUCAAGACAUGGGCGUGAUUGACAGGCUAAUGACUUUUCUCGAUUCCAUGGAUGGUGGUGCAUGGUCGCACUUAGUUGGUGCAGUGAUUUGUCAGGUUUAUUCCGGUAACGAACGAGACCUCGGCCUUGUAAAUAGCUAUGCUGCUUACAGGGACAUUGGCGGCUACGCCAAGGAAGCUCGAGGCAAUUGCAGAUCUGGAAUGCCCUUAGAUGUCCUGGGUCGCACGCGUGCUACAAUGACGCCACGAACGAGCUUGCGUGAUGAAAGUUACGCAUAAUCAGCAGUCGGCGUCUUAAGGGAUAGUCUCUUGUAACUGUGGGACUCCAACUAGGAAUGUCUCGUAAGCACAAGUCAACAUCUUGUGUUGAUUACGUCCCUGCUCUUUGUACACACCGCCCGUCGCUCCUACCGAUCGAGUGUUUAGGUGAAUUUGAUGGACGUAAGGAAGUCAAAUAAACCUGAGCACUAGAGAAGAGAAGUCGACAUGUCU
RNAcentral lists this ribosomal RNA (500 nucleotides) under uncultured Myrionecta. RNAcentral describes it as "bacterial SSU rRNA". It matches the Rfam family "Eukaryotic small subunit ribosomal RNA", at positions 1213 to 1801 of the family's 1831-position model. The record is from RNAcentral. Lineage: Eukaryota; Ciliophora; Litostomatea; Cyclotrichida; Mesodiniidae.